ACCAGAUUUUUCAGACUUUUCUCUCAACUUUGAACCCUCAUUUCUUGAGCAUUUCAAGUCCAAAUCUAGUGAUUCAAGAGUCUAUCUUCAAGAAAUUUUCGCGAGGAAUCCAUGGUGAGCUCGGAAUCUUGAUUAGAAGCUUCGUUUUAGGAAUACAGUGGUGUAAUCAUAAAGUGAUGGAGAAGAUUUUUUUUAGUGGAUUGUCAUUCCGGGCACUGAAUUCGAGAGUUGCUUGUCCGGUGGAGGUAUUCGUGUGCGGUUUCGGCAAUUGAAGUAGGU
This is a long non-coding RNA of Solanum dulcamara, 279 nucleotides long. RefSeq lists it as uncharacterized. The record is from RefSeq and is a predicted model, not a curated record. NCBI's taxonomy places the organism in Eukaryota, Viridiplantae, Streptophyta, Magnoliopsida, Solanales, Solanaceae. The transcript has 3 exons.